AAUCUUAUACGUUAGAUCGUUGCUUAUCAGCUUGUGUCUAUUAGUUACGUGAUUCAUCUGUCGAUCAUCAGUUGAGUUCUAGUUAUUGAAAUAGACGGAUCUAAUCAGUACGCGAUUAUACAUUGAGCACCAUGAAACUGACUAUAUUCUUCUCGUUGAUCAUGUUACUAUUCGGUGCAGUGUUGGCAUUCCCAUCCGAAGGAAGCAAUGGAACAAACUCUUUGACAAAUACGGAUAAGGAAUCUCGCUUCUUUUCAAUUGUCGAUUAUGGAAAACAUAAUGAUCAUGCCGGCCAUCCACAAAAUGAAGAUUCACGCUCAGAGGAGGACAGCAAGGAACACAAAUCUUGUCACUAACCAAAGGCAUAAAAAUAUGAAAGCGCCUUAAGCUUUUCUGGAAUAAAUCACUUACAUCGAAACCACAGGAUAA
Long non-coding RNA from Armigeres subalbatus, 429 nucleotides. RefSeq lists it as uncharacterized. The transcript has 3 exons. NCBI's taxonomy places the organism in Eukaryota, Metazoa, Arthropoda, Insecta, Diptera, Culicidae. The record is from RefSeq and is a predicted model, not a curated record.